RNAcentral lists this transfer RNA (67 nucleotides) under Marmota monax (woodchuck). RNAcentral's name for it is "tRNA.Ala". The record is from RNAcentral. Lineage: Eukaryota; Metazoa; Chordata; Mammalia; Rodentia; Sciuridae.
GGUUGUGGCUCAGUGGUAGAGUGUUUACCUAGCAUGCAUGAGGCACUGGGUUCGAUCCUCAGCACCA